RNAcentral lists this long non-coding RNA (559 nucleotides) under Homo sapiens (human). RNAcentral's name for it is "non-protein coding lnc-TCFL5-2:3". Lineage: Eukaryota; Metazoa; Chordata; Mammalia; Primates; Hominidae. The record is from RNAcentral.
GCGAGGCCCUGAGCCUCUUGAGGGUUCAGUGCCCUCCUCCGUACAAUGGGCCAACAACAGCCCCUUCCCUGGGGAUCUCGGUGAGGGUUGGUUGCUCUGCAGGGUGCCCUGGGCCUGUGCCAGCGCGCUCAGGCAUCCUGGUGACCAACCACAGCUGGCACUGGUGAACGCAGCCUCUUAGCCCAGGCAGGCUCUGGUCAGCCUCACCUGCUGGGACCGCUGAGUGGUCCAAGAGCUGGCUUGGCUGACUGGGACCUGGGCCUCAGCUUCCCCAUCUGUGCAGGGGGCCGCUGGUGAUACCGGUCCCUGCCAUGCCCUGGUGGAGAUAUGGCCCAGUGAGACUUCGUGAGGGGUCUAGGCCACUGCUGUCACGUGGUCCUCCUGCUCCACCACAGGCCAUCUCCCUGGGCCUCAUCCAGACAGCUGGACACUGAGCACAGCUCUGUUGUCCUCUUCCCUGGGCUGAGUGGACUCAGAGGUGCUGGGGACUGCAUGGCCGCCGGACGAGGCGGGGGCUUUCCAACCCAACACCACCGAGCCUGCCUCUUCCUGCCCUGGA